This is a long non-coding RNA of Corapipo altera (White-ruffed manakin), 175 nucleotides long. RefSeq lists it as uncharacterized. The transcript has 2 exons. Lineage: Eukaryota; Metazoa; Chordata; Aves; Passeriformes; Pipridae. The record is from RefSeq and is a predicted model, not a curated record.
CACUGGAAGGGGCUGCCCAGGGAAGUGGUGGAGUCCUCAUCCCUGGAGUUGUCCAAGGAAUGACUGGAUGUGGCACUCAGUGCUCUGGGGUGGGUGACGAGGUGGGGAUUGGUCAAAGUUUGGACUUGAUGAUCUUGGAGGGCUUUUCCAACCUUAAAAAUUCCAUGAUUCUAUG